Molecule: transfer RNA, 68 nt
Filed under: Pseudechinolaena polystachya
Lineage: Eukaryota; Viridiplantae; Streptophyta; Magnoliopsida; Poales; Poaceae
Also listed under: 1 other name
Description: partial tRNA-Gly
Rfam family: tRNA
About the family: Transfer RNA (tRNA) molecules are approximately 80 nucleotides in length. Their secondary structure includes four short double-helical elements and three loops (D, anti-codon, and T loops).
Source: RNAcentral
GCGAGCGUAGUUCAGUGGUAAAACAUCUCCUUGCCAAGGAGAAGAUGCGGGUUCGAUUUCCCGCUACA